CCAGUAGCGUAUAUUAAAGUUGUUGCAGUUAAAAAGCUCGUAGUUGAACCUCGGGAUCAAUGGGUCGGUCAUGCCAAUGGUAUGUACUGGCCUCAUUGGUUCUCACCUUCUAAGGAACCAUGAUGUCAUUCAUUUGAUGUUGUGGGGAAUUAGGACUGUUACCUUGAAAAAAUUAGAGUGUUUAAAGCAGGCUAACGCUUGAAUACAUUAGCAUGGAAUAAUGAAAUAGGACAUCGCAUUCUAUUUUGUUGGUUUCUAGGAUCGAUGUAAUGAUUAAUAGGGAUAGUUGGGGGCAUUAGUAUUCAAUUGUCAGAGGUGAAACUCUUGGAUUUAUUGAAGACUAACUACUGCGAAAGCAUUUGCCAAGGAUGUUUUCAUUAAUCAAGAACGAAAGUUAGGGGAUCGAAGACGAUCAGAUACCGUCGUAGUCUUAACCAUAAACUAUGCCGACUAGGGAUCGGAUGAUGUUGAUUUUUUAAUGACUCAUUCGGCACCUUACG
Molecule: ribosomal RNA, 500 nt
Filed under: uncultured Glomeromycotina
Lineage: Eukaryota; Fungi; Glomeromycota
Description: partial small subunit ribosomal RNA
Rfam family: Eukaryotic small subunit ribosomal RNA
Source: RNAcentral